RNAcentral lists this transfer RNA (72 nucleotides) under Camelus bactrianus (Bactrian camel). It matches the Rfam family "tRNA". From Rfam's summary of the family: Transfer RNA (tRNA) molecules are approximately 80 nucleotides in length. Their secondary structure includes four short double-helical elements and three loops (D, anti-codon, and T loops). Lineage: Eukaryota; Metazoa; Chordata; Mammalia; Artiodactyla; Camelidae. The record is from Rfam by way of RNAcentral. RNAcentral also lists the same sequence under 1 other name.
GAGGGUAUAGCCCAGCGGUAGAGCAUGGGCUUUUCAUGCCCAAGGUCCUGGGUUCAAUCCCCAGCACCUCCA